GACGAACGCUGGCGGCGUGCUUAACACAUGCAAGUCGAACGAAGUGGCGAACGGGUGAGUAACGCGGAAUCAACCUGCCCUUCAGAGGGGGACAACAGUUGGAAACGACUACUAAUACCGCAUCCUUAAGCAGGGGAUUGCGGGUGAGUCGCUAUUGGGAGGGGGAACGGCCCUACAAGGCGAUGAUCAGUGGCAGGUGUUGGGGGGUGGACGUGCAAAUAGGGACUGGAACACGGCCCAUAAUCCUGCGGUGGGCAGGAAUGGGGGAUGUUCCGCAAUGGACGGAAGGCUGACGGAGCAACGCCGGGGGAGGGAUGACGGCCUUCGGGUUGUAAAGCUCUGUUAAUCGGGGCGCGGUACCGGAAUAGAAAGCCACGGCUAACUACGUGCCAGCAGCCGCGGUAAUUC
This 408-nucleotide ribosomal RNA is filed under the name uncultured bacterium. RNAcentral describes it as "partial 16S ribosomal RNA". It matches the Rfam family "Bacterial small subunit ribosomal RNA", at positions 28 to 526 of the family's 1533-position model. The record is from RNAcentral.